Long non-coding RNA from Hibiscus syriacus, 1099 nucleotides. RefSeq lists it as uncharacterized. The transcript is spliced from 3 exons. The record is from RefSeq and is a predicted model, not a curated record. NCBI's taxonomy places the organism in Eukaryota, Viridiplantae, Streptophyta, Magnoliopsida, Malvales, Malvaceae.
AUAAAGAGUUGGAGAAAAGAUGAAAAUAAUUAUUCAUCUUCUUCUCCUUCAAGCAAACAGGUGAUAGAAAGACAAGGAAGGUGAAGGUGGCUGUUGGAGGCAUGAAAGAGCUCCAUCCUGGGAUUCUAGCAACAAGAGCACACAUGUUCAUGGAAAAUGGAAAAAGGCUCAGACUAAGUUAGUAAGCUCGAAUUUAGGAAAUUAAGGUGAGUACCCCUCGAACUCCGAAUUGUUUCAUGAUUUUCAUAAUCUCAAUGCCUUGCUUGUACGUGGACACUCGGUCUAAGAUUCGGGUGGUAAUUCUUAAGAGCCUUUUUUUAUGAUAAAUUGAUUGGUGGAACUAUUUGGAACAUGCUUAGUUUUCCUUUUUUGAUAAUUUCACUGGUGGAAUUAAGUGUUGGAAACUAGAUUUUAGGUUGCAAGCCAGAUGUUAGGUUUCAACAACCUAGAUUUUAGGUUGAAACCCAGAUUUAAGGUUAUAACUGGAUUUUUAACUUGUAACUUGUUUUUAGGUUGUAAAUCGGAUUUCUAAGUUGGAAACCUGAUUUUUGGUUGAAACCCUGUUUUUAAGUCAGAAAUAUAUGUUAUGACUUUUGCUAUAUAAUCUUGGGCAUUUCUUAAUUAGGUACAUUUCUGGAAUAACAUGAGACAAAAGAGUAAGAAUACUCAUUUAAGAAUAAAAGUGAUUGGAAAACCCUAUGCGUUGAAAGAUUAAAAUACACUUACGUGUGAAAGGGAUUAAUUGGCGAAAGUCCUGAGAUACCUUAAAGGUGAGAUAAUUAAAGUAUUAAUGAUACGAUCAACGAACAAAAGGUUUUAAGUCGUAAAUUACAUGGAAUAGUCUUAUAAAUGGGUAAAGUACUCGUUGGAGAUGAAAAUGACCAAAUGUCCUUGUGUACCUAAAUGAUCAGAACAUAAUGGUUUAAUGAGCUGGUAAAUGUCUGAUGAACUUUACAAAUGAUUAAAAGGUAUAUUUCUGUUAUGCAUAAAUGAUUGUCAUGUUUCAUGACUUAAUGCACGAUGUUAGGGAGUCUUGAGGUAAGUUGUCAUGUUUAUUCCUAUUAAUGGUUGAUUAUACUAAUGUAAGUGCAUUGCAUCC